AUGAGGGGCCUCAUAGUUUGGCUGUGGCCUAAGGAGGCCGUGCCUGGGAGCUACUUCGGCCUGGUGCGGCGGCUGGUGGAUGCGUGUCCAUGGGUUGAAGUCAUCAAGCACUCCGCCUGUAUUGAAGGUGCCCGUCGGGCCCUUGCCCGCGCAAAGGUGCACUGGGGCAAGAUGGAUGCUGAGAAGCUUGUGACGGACGCGCCACCGCUGGGCAAGGAGUAUUGUACUCCCGAGAUGUAUUAUAAGACUGUUCUGAAGGGUGCCCGCACUAUUGCGGGUGAGUGCUACAAAGAUGUAAUAUUUGAGUAG
RNAcentral lists this ribosomal RNA (309 nucleotides) under Triticum aestivum (bread wheat). RNAcentral describes it as "partial small subunit ribosomal RNA". The record is from RNAcentral. Lineage: Eukaryota; Viridiplantae; Streptophyta; Magnoliopsida; Poales; Poaceae.